Molecule: ribosomal RNA, 253 nt
Filed under: uncultured bacterium
Lineage: Bacteria
Description: partial 16S ribosomal RNA
Rfam family: Bacterial small subunit ribosomal RNA
Source: RNAcentral
UACGGGGGGGGUAAGCGUUGUUCGGAAUUACUGGGCGGAAAGGGCUCGUAGGCGGCCAACUAAGUCAGACGUGAAAUCCCUCAGCUUAACUGGGGAACUGCGUCUGAUACUGGAUGGCUUGGAUUCGGGAGAGGAAUGCGGAAUUCCAGGUGUAGCGGUGAAAUGCGUAGAUAUCUGGAGGAACACCGGUGGCGAAGGCGGCAUUCUGGACCGAUAUUGACGCUGAGGCGCGAAAGCCAGGGGAGCAAACGGG